UGGAAAGGCGCGCGAUACAGGGUGACAGCCCCGUACACAAAAGCGCAUGUGCUGUGAGCUCGAUGAGUAGGGCGGGACACGUGGUAUCCUGUCUGAAUAUGGGGGGACCAUCCUCCAAGGCUAAAUACUCCUGACUGACCGAUAGUGAACCAGUACCGUGAGGGAAAGGCGAAAAGAACCCCGGCGAGGGGAGUGAAAAAGAACCUGAAACCGUGUACGUACAAGCAGUGGGAGCCCCACCACCAAAGCAUUCUCUGGUGUUGAAGGCCCUGCAAAGCAGCAUCGCGGUGGCGGAGCGUCGUUUGCGACGCCCAACACACAAAACAAGCGGUGAGUGCUUUGGGGUGGGGUGACUGCGUACCUUUUGUAUAAUGGGUCAGCGACUUAUAUUCUGUAGCAAGGUUAACCGAAUAGGGGAGCCGGAGGGAAACCGAGUCUUAAUUGGGCGUUAAGUUGCAGGGUAUAGACCCGAAACCCGGUGAUCUAGCCAUGGGCAGGUUGAAGGUUGGGUAACACUAACUGGAGGACCGAACCGACUAAUGUUGAAAAAUUAGCGGAUGACCUGUGGCUGGGGGUGAAAGGCCAAUCAAACCGGGAGAUAGCUGGUUCUCCCCGAAAGCUAUUUAGGUAGCGCCUCGUGAAUUCAUCUCCGGGGGUAGAGCACUGUUUCGGCUAGGGGGCCAUCCCGGCUUACCAACCCGAUGCAAACUGCGAAUACCGGAGAAUGUUAUCACGGGAGACACACGGCGGGUGCUAACGUCCGUCGUGAAGAGGGAAACAACCCAGACCGCCAGCUAAGGUCCCAAAGUCAUGGUUAAGUGGGAAACGAUGUGGGAAGGCCCAGACAGCCAGGAUGUUGGCUUAGAAGCAGCCAUCAUUUAAAGAAAGCGUAAUAGCUCACUGGUCGAGUCGGCCUGCGCGGAAGAUGUAACGGGGCUAAACCAU
RNAcentral lists this ribosomal RNA (945 nucleotides) under Salmonella enterica. Its description in RNAcentral is "partial 23S ribosomal RNA". It matches the Rfam family "Bacterial large subunit ribosomal RNA", at positions 343 to 1190 of the family's 2925-position model. Lineage: Bacteria; Pseudomonadati; Pseudomonadota; Gammaproteobacteria; Enterobacterales; Enterobacteriaceae. The record is from RNAcentral.